Molecule: ribosomal RNA, 1018 nt
Filed under: Comibaena delicatior
Lineage: Eukaryota; Metazoa; Arthropoda; Insecta; Lepidoptera; Geometridae
Description: SSU rRNA
Rfam family: Eukaryotic small subunit ribosomal RNA
Source: RNAcentral
AGAUAGCAUGCAUGUCUCAGUGCAAGCCGCUUUAAGGCGAUACCGCGAAUGGCUCAAUAUAUCAGUUUUGGUUCCUUAGAUCUUACUCAGUUACUUGGAUAACUGUGGUAAUUCUAGAGCUAAUACAUGCAAUUAGAACUCUGACCAGUGAUGGGACGAGUGCUUUUAUUAGAUCAAAACCAAUCGACGGAGGGCCUUGCGUCCGAUGUCGUUAAUUUUGAUGAAUCUGGAUAACUUUUGCCGAUCGCACGGUCUCGUACCGGCGACGCAUCUUUCAAAUGUCUGCCUUAUCAACUUUCGAUGGUAGUUUCUGCGACUACCAUGGUUGUCACGGGUAACGGGGAAUCAGGGUUCGAUUCCGGAGAGGGAGCCUGAGAAACGGCUACCACAUCCAAGGAAGGCAGCAGGCGCGCAAAUUACCCACUCCCGGCACGGGGAGGUAGUGACGAAAAAUAACGAUACGGGACUCUUACGAGGCCUCGUAAUCGGAAUGAGUACACUUUAAAUAUUUUAACGAGGAACAAUUGGAGGGCAAGUCUGGUGCCAGCAGCCGCGGUAAUUCCAGCUCCAAUAGCGUAUACUAAAAUUGUUGCGGUUAAAAAGCUCGUAGUUGCAUUUGUGCGCCGCGCUGUCGGUGCACCGCAUCCGCGGUGAUACUGACACGUUUGCGGGAGCAUAUCGUCGGUGAGCCGGCGGUAACACGCCGGUUCAAUAUCAAAAUCCUAUCGCGGUGCUCUUCAGUGAGUGUCGAGGUGGGCCGACAAUUUUACUUUGAACAAAUUAGAGUGCUCAAAGCGGGCUCAAAAUGCUGCUUGAAUAUUUCGUGCAUGGAAUAAUAGAAUAUGAUCUCGGUUCUAUUUUGUUGGUUUUCAGAACUCCGAGUUAAUGAUUAAUAGGGAUAACUGGGGGCAUUCGUAUUGCGACGUUAGAGGUGAAAUUCUUGGAUCGUCGCAAGACGAACAUCAGCGAAAGCAUUUGCCAAGGUGUUUUCAUCAAUCAAGAACGAAAGUUAGAGGUU